GUUUCGGAAUCACGUUGUCCUUUUGCAAAUUCCAUUCAUCUUUAUUUCCUUCACAAACGGCAUCGGGGGCCUACAUAACCGUCGGAAUCUUCACCCCCGCCAUUAUCAUGUAUUUGCCAUGGCUUAAUGCUCAUCUUACAAAGAUCUGGCCUUUUGUUAACGAGUUAUGAAUCCUAAAACAACGCUCCAAACGUUUUUAAAGUUGAUUGAUGACUAUGAUCCUAUAUAAAAAUCGGACUCCGAUAAUUCCUCAAACAAAAGAGGUGUUUUUUAUGGAAGAUGAUAUGGAAAAUAAUUCAUUUACACCAACUUGGGAGAAUGGGGCAGAAUCACCAAUAUUGCUUGAGAAUGUUGUUGGCCAAGGAUCAACUAAGUACAAGAUAAAAUUAAAAUAUGGAGGUUACUUUCGGUUAGCUAAGAACUCAUACAAAAAACGUUAUUGUUUUGGCUU
RNAcentral lists this long non-coding RNA (451 nucleotides) under Helianthus annuus (common sunflower). The record is from RNAcentral. Lineage: Eukaryota; Viridiplantae; Streptophyta; Magnoliopsida; Asterales; Asteraceae.